UAAGCUCCAUAUCACCAGCUAAAUCUUGCAUCCUCAUCAACAUCUUCCACUCAUCUUUCGGUAAGAGCUUCAAUCUGCUUUCCUAGCCUUUCCUUUAUUUUGAGGUAUGCCCCAUGGACCUUUGUAGCAGUUGUGUUUUUUCUAGAUGGCUCAUGACUAGUUUAACUUGGCCCGUUUGUAGUAUGGUUUGUUUUACACUAUACAGUUGAGACUUCUACUGAGAUAUUUCAGUGCUAUGCAGUAUGUUUGACUUUAAUUUCCAGUUCUACAGUAUUUUCAUAUGUUUGUGAUGUUAACCAGUCGUUAGUUUAGUGGUUUGCUUGAUAGGGGUAGUUAGUGUGGUGCCUGGUGCCGGUCAUGAAUCCCUAAAUGCGGGUUGUGACAUUUGGUUGGAUAAAGAGGGUAGUGGCACAAGAUAUUAAUAAGAAGGUGGGAAAUAAAGCAAGGGUCUCUCAUUUGAUGGCGUUCUGAGUAGUAAAGUUUGUUAAGGAUGUUAGCAAUGCUGGUAGCAGAAAUGGUUUUAGUAAACAUGAUAUAUUUGUAGAGCACCCUUACCAUCCACAUAUAUACACUCACCUUCCUUUGUAGAUGUGAAGCUUCACUUGGUGAGUGCGCACAACCUUCCACCAAGUAGGUGAAAAGUUCAACCCCCAUAAGUAGCACUCUUUUACCCCCCCCCCCUCCCCCAACCCCCUCAAAAAUGUGAUCUAAAGAAAGAAAAGGGUAGUUGUACAGGAAAAUGAUCUAUGUCAUCAAAAGAUGCAUGCUCCUUCUUUGCAGUUGGUGUAAAAUAGUUUUCUUGAUUAGAAUAUCUUCAAUAAUUUACAACAACCAAUGAUUAGAAAUUGAUUCCCUCAAAGAUAACAUCUCACAUGUACAUAUUCAAACCAUAUUAAAGGACCUUUCCUUUUUCUCUCUAUUUCUUUUGGGGAUGGGGUAUAACAAUGGUCCAACCAAUCAUAAACCUUCACGAUAAAUAAGGAAACUAUAAUUUACAAAGCUCUAGCACUGUUGAACAAGUUACCUCUUAUCCCAAGGAAAAGAGGAAGUCACAUUUGUCUAAUUUGUCAUUUUUUCUGAACUAUCUUCCGUCAUGAAAUUUACAAGGCAAAAGAUGAAUUAGCAUAUUGCAUAAUUUGCCUUCUCCUACAAGUACUAUGCAGCAUUUGCCAGCACAGCUCAUCUCUAAACAUGCAAUCCAAGAACUGUGUCACAAUUUAACUAUGUGGAGAAUAAGAAUACACAUACAAGAUGAACUGGAUUAGUGAUCUUCCACUCAGCUACUCCUGCACGAAUAUAUGUGUUUCGACUGACAUAAAUACCUGCAGAAAAAAUUAAAUUAAGACUUCUUACUACCUUCAAAUAUUUCAACUUAGACUUGUAGAUACAAAUAACCCAAUUUUUUUACAGGCAACGGCAAAAACAUCCAGAUAGAGAAAAAAUUAGUUUUCCUGCUCAGAUGGCAUAAGUAAAUCCAAGACAAAUACCUUGGUAUGUGGUCCAUAGAGAAAUUUCUUUUGGAAAAUACUAUCAUACAUCCCUACCAAAUACACUAUACCCAGCUUUAAGACACUUCGUGAAAAACUUUAUAUUGCCAGCUUUCAAAAUAUUGAAUGCUCAAUAGUAAAAUUCUAAUGAUACUACUAGGAGCAACCAAAAUUUCCACAAUGGUGAAAAUCACAACUUUUAACUCUUGUUUUUGCUUGUUCAACAACUAUCAACUCUUGCCAUUAUUCUCUAAUAGAAAAGCUAUGUCAAAGUGAAUAUCAACAAAUACUGUUUUUUCCAGAUGCACCAAUUAGGGCAUAAAACUUGAGAACUUAGAGGUUCUUCCUGAAUACAGAAAAGACUCAUAUUAAUCCAGCGACCAAUGACCAAAUAAACAGAAUUGAUUUGAGGAUAAUCAAAAUCUGGCAUUGUAAUAACGAAAAUCCAAGAAUUUUACAAUACAUGGUCGCCUAUCUAUUCAAAAAGUAACAAAUGGAAGUUAGAAGUAUUGGCACACUACUGUCUUGAGAAAAGUGUCCAUUUCAUUUGUCACCAAACUCAAGAAUUAAAAUCCAUAACAUUGCAAUGUUGAACGAGAGGAAGUAGCCAACAAUCCCUAUACAUGCCCUCAUGCUUCUGCCUUCUCUCCCUCCCAACAUAGAACUUUACAAUUAAUAAGGAACUUUUUUUUUUGGUAAAUAAUAAGGACCUUCUUGUCAUAGAAACAGGUGUAACUAUAGUAUAUUUCGAAGUAAUUGUGCAACAAUAUUUUACCAUCUUCAUCAAAAACUAUAUCUUACCAUCCGUACGAAUCCUUGGUCUUAAAAGCCACAUUUUUCUCCAUGAACCAUCAUACUUCAACUGAAGGACCUUAUAGUUUUCUACCAAUCCAGAAACCUUCAAAAAUGAGGCACAAUGGUUAAUGUUACUUACUAAGCUCACUAGUCGCAAUAAACAACCAGAACCAGUGUCCCUAGUACCUGCCAAGCCUUUAGGCACGCAUUGCGCCAAAAUACAGGGUUCCGAAUUGUAUACCUCCACUUUCGACAAACACAAGCCGCCCUACCCAAGGUGUAUGGGGUUGUUUUUGACAAGAUCUGCACAACAUUAAUCAUGAAAUCAUAGUAAGUUUCCGGUUUCCUCACCUUAGCUAUAAAGAUUAGAAGGGAAGGCUGCAAAAGCUAAAUUUCAAUCUAGAAACAGCAUAAUUUUUCUCAAGAAGACAUCACGGUUUUAUAUUUGAUUGCCUUCAGUUCUGUAGAUAUGCAACCUCAAUUCACCCCUUGGAAGGAAACAACAAGAACUUUGGAGAAAGAGGGGGUGGGACUGGGUUAAAGACUAAUCCAAUAAAUUAUCAGUGAAAACCAGCUAACCAUCCAGAGAAAGAAUCAAAGGGAACAGUCACAUUUAUGCUUGGCUGUAAAGCUCGACUUGAUUACUAUAAUGAGAUCAUAGAGUCCAACAUUCCUCGUCUCCGAAGAAGACAGAGAUGACAUCCAACUUUGCUACCAAGGAUGCUCCUCAGAAGAAUUGACGGGGAAAAAGGCUCAAGGCAGAUGUUAAAAUAGCAACAGUUGUCUCCACGUAGAAUCCACUAACUUUUUGCAUGGGCAUGAAAUAAAAGUUGUUCAUAGGGGGGUAGCUAGAUAUCGUCUCACCAUAAAUGUACAUGUAACCCAAAACAGCCACAAAUACCUUACUUUCUGGUUAAUUUUUUCUUUUGAUUUAUAGAAAAACAUUGUUCAUACUUCGGAUACCUAUUAAUUAGUUUAGCAAAAUCAGCUCUGUUGUAAGUCUUAUCAAUAUGCUUCAGCUUCCUAGUGUAACAAAGCAUUUCCAACACUUGCCACAUAUUUACAUGUCGAUAAGAAAAUUACAGAGGAAAUUAAUUGAAAUCCAUAUAGGCAUACCUCAAAAAGCAGUUCAUCAGGUAGCACUCUGUGUAUCAAUGCAGGAUCAACAAACUGCUUGCUACUAGCACUUCCAAAAGGAGCGACAGGUCUAACAUUAAUCCCAUACAAAUCUGAAAGAAAAUAGGCAGGUGAGUUGACAUUAGUCUGUUCUACACAAAUUCAUCAUCAAAACCAAAUGUCGAUAAAAAGAAUCCAAGAAAUGAUGAAUCUUUUAUACAGCUAGCAAAUUGCUAGGAGCAAGGUAAUUGAAGUAAGCAAUGACAAAGUGCUAGGAAAAUACCAAGCCAUGGCCUUUGAGGAAAAAUGAACUGAGAAGCUCUCAACCGUGCAGCAGUUUCGAGUUCCACAGCAAGUUCCACUGUGUAAUCUGCAAGAUAUGAGCCAUUAUCAAUGACAAAUAACGAAAAUUACAGAACAAGAAGAACAUGACAACACCAUAAAGGGACAAUUUCUAGUUCUGUAACUAACUCAAGGAACAAAUUUCCGAAAGUUGACCAAUGCCCAGAUGACGAGAGUACUCAGAUUUACUCAUAAAACAAGUAAACUGAGACAAAAAAACACAGAAAUUGACAAAAAGUCUAUAAAUAUACAUAUUCAUAAUUUGGAAAUAAAUACUUCCAUUACUCAAUGAAUUAAAAAGAUACUAAGAUCAAGUAAACAAACCAACAGUAAAAUGAAAAGUAUAGCAAGCUUGGGUAGUCACAUAAAAUCAAUCUUGAAUCAGUAAUUUCAGCUUCUCAAAUUAGCAAUGACUAGAGAACAUUUAUUCAUCAAACUGCAGACUAGCAAAAAUAUACACGAGUCUGCUCUUUUAUUUACAAAAGAUUUGGAUAUGAGCAGAAUCCAAUUCUCUUUUUUUUUUCCUUCUUUCUUUAAAAAAUAGUAUCCGGGGCCCUUCGCACCUCAACUAAUCCACUGGGUACCUACUAAUCACCUAGUGUUAUUGGGGAUCUGGACCCUGUCUACCAUGCUCUAUGUCAGUUCCAUUGAACACAAAACAAUACACUAUAUGAUGCAACACAAGCUGAAAAGAACAUAAAAAUAAGCAACAAACACGAGAAAAAACAUAUUUUAAAACAAAGAUUCAUUUUUUUUUUUACUUCUCCCAGAAAUUAAUGAAAUCCCAGUAAAAUCCAACCAAAAAUUUGAACUUUCUUACAAUACAACUCCUUCUCAAAUCAUAUACAACCCUUUCCAUAACCCAAAACCCAAGAAAGAUUCCAACCAAAGAAUUUGAAUUUACAAAUACCCAGAUGGUAAAUACCAAUUCUAGAACAGAAUAGAGGAAAAAAAUUAUGAAAUGAAGAAAAAGUUAAC
This 4718-nucleotide long non-coding RNA is filed under the name Solanum tuberosum (potato). RNAcentral's name for it is "long non-coding RNA (STUB_LNC010585)". The record is from RNAcentral. Lineage: Eukaryota; Viridiplantae; Streptophyta; Magnoliopsida; Solanales; Solanaceae.